AUGCUCAUCCUCGGCGGGGGGUUAAGGGGGUGUCUGAGACCCCGAAUCACCCCCCCAAACCCCCCCCACCUCCACCCCGAAUUAAAUUUAAGCUGUUUCUUUGCAGUCAAGGCCAGCGACCCCGUCGUCUACCCGCUGGCCUCGUGCGACUGCGCCAGCUGCGGGGCCAACCUCACCCUCGGCUGCUUCGUCAGCGAUUUCUUCCCCCAACCCGUCACCGUCACGUGGGUUUCCAAAGUCCCCGGCGACAUCGAGACCUUCCCGGCCUUAGCGAGCAGCAGCAGCCUCUAUAAGCUCAGCUCAGAAAUCACCGUCGCCCCCGCCGACGGCUUGGAUAGCGAGACCUUCCAGUGCAAGGCCUACCAAAGCGCCACCGGCAAAACCGCCACUGGCAGCGUCAAAGGUGUCAACUCGUGCUGUAACAAUAAGCCUGUGACCGUAAAGCUCCUGAGCGACCCCAACAAAUACCGGAACGAGAACAAGGUCCUGCUGCUGUGCCUGGUCGAGGGGAGGAAGGCUGGCGAAAGCCAAGUGCAGUGGUUGGUCAACCACGACGUGGCCAACCUCAACCCGGAAGUCUACGCCUGCGACCAGUGCUCCGACAACAUGGCCGCCUUCACGAGCCAGGUCAACGUCAGCAAGGAGACGUGGGAGGCGGGGGCGGAGUUCUCCUGCAAAGUGACCAAUCCCACGCUGAAGGAGGCUGCGGUCGCCAACAUCAGCACUUUCUGCUCAGAUACUAAACCGGCGGUGACCGUCACCCUCCUCCCCCCGUCCUUGGAGGACCUUUACCUCAGCCAGAACGGCAGCGUCACGUGCCUGGCGACCAACCUGAAGUCAACCGAGGACGUGAAGUUCACCUGGAACCGGGAUCAAGGCAAAGCCUUGGACGCCAUCUUGGGGAAACCCCAAAAACUACCCAACGGGCUCUUCAGCCUCACCAGCACGUUGAAGAUCUGCGCCGACGAGUGGAAUUCCGGCGAGAAGUUCACCUGCACCGUCCAGGUCCCCGAACUCGGCAAACCCAUCACAAAAUCCAUUCAGAAAGACAUAGCCGUCUCCGUGAAGGCACCUUCCGUCUACGUCUUCCCGCCGCCGGCCGAGGAAUUGGCCCGUCAGGAAACGGCUACUUUGACCUGCCUGGUUUUGGGGUUCCGCCCCCGCGACGUCCUGGUGACGUGGACCCAACAGGAUCGUCCCGUGCCGCCGAGUAGCGUCGCCAUCUUUGGGCCGGAGGAAGACGGCGGCGCUUUCUCCGCCUACAGCAUGUUGAGCGUGCCGGCGGCCGACUGGCAACGCGGCGACUCCUUCGCGUGCGUGGUGGGCCACGAGGGCAUCCCCAUGAACUUCGUGCAGAAGAGUUUGGAUAAAAGCUUGGGUAAACCCACCGCCGUCAACGUUUCGGUCAUCCUCGCCGAUUCCGACGUCACCUGUUAUUGAGCGCGGCCGGGGCGGGGAGGCGGGAAGACGCGCGGGGCUGUAAUUCCGCAUCCAAAUAAACCAAAAAAAACCAAAAAACAACAAAAAAAAAACCCCCAAAUGAGACCCAAAACCCCCCAAACCCUCCCCCCCUCCCCGUAAAUCAAACCCGGUAUCGUGCCGACGCCACACUUGGGCCGGGGGGGUGUGUUUUCCCACCCCUCCCCCACCUCAACCAUCGCCCUUCCC
Molecule: non-coding RNA, 1668 nt
Organism: Phalacrocorax carbo (great cormorant)
Lineage: Eukaryota; Metazoa; Chordata; Aves; Suliformes; Phalacrocoracidae
Source: the annotation of a RefSeq genome assembly